GUUCUCUGUAUCAUCAUUCUCAUGGGGAGUCAGGCAUUAGACCAGCUGUGCUUCUCCUGCUGUCCUUUAAAUAAAGAUUGGUAUGUGUUCAUUUCCAGCUCUAGAGCUAUGUCUGUGUUGUGUCACAAUCUAUAGAACUCACAUGUAAAGCACAGUCCUUCAGAGACUAGUAACAGCUCUACAAUGUGCUUAUUCUUCCAUGGGUAAGAUACCCUCUUGUCCAUGCUAUAGGGAAAGAAAAAAGGAGAAGGAAAAUAACACUUACUGAGCUUGAUGGAUGUGUUCAAUCUGCCCUCAGCCCCACUUUCCAUCCUUCUCCACCCUGCUCCAUGGCUCACCUCCUGUGACCUUAGUGGACUUUCUUACCAAAUGGCUUCAAGCUGGGUUUGGCCAAUAGAGGACCCUGGAGGAAUUGGAAGGAGACAAGGAGAAAAGGAUGGAAGCUGCCCUAUUCAUUUCCCGAUACCUCAGAGGUUGCCAAGGGCUGACCACAUCUCUCCACAGAAGGUCUCAGCAGCUCUCUGGAGGGAGGACCUGAUUGAGGUGAACGUUCACCGUCCAAAAUACAGCUUUCCCACUGAAGAGGAUGCUUCCCACAGGUCUUUUCCAGGAAGAACCCAAAGAGGGCUGCCAUUGCUCUGGGCCAUUUCCUCUCCAAUCAGCUGACGGCGGCACAGAGGUGCUGAGGGUGAAGUGCUAAUCCUAAACCUCUGUGCACAGUGAUGACUGCAACCAAGAGGCUGGAAGCCGCCACAGACAUGUUUGUUUUGAUUAGCACAAUAUCGGCUCAUACAUUAUUAUUAUUUUUAUAAUGCUCAAUCAACAGUUUUACAUAGGGAGAUUUCAUGUAAAAAUCCAGAUUUCCAGCUUCUCUUGAAAAACCAGAAUAUUAGAAAACACCAACUACAGUCAACAGGGACUGAGUAGUGGCUGACCCCUUUAAAAGGCGCCUGAGCUCUCCAGUUCACCAUAGUCCCUGAAUCUCCCUAAUGUCAACUAGCUUCACUCAUUUAUUUACGUGCCUGACUUUUGCAGGCACGUGAGUUGGCAAACACUAAAAUAAGUAAUGUGCACUUUUCUCAAAAGGGAGUUUAUGAUGUGGCAGGCACUUAAAAAGUCACUGACUAUAGGAUGUCACAAUUUUGAGUUCAGAAACUGUGCCUACUAUAAUUCCACUGCUGCUGGCAGCCCCUGGAACAACCUUAAGAUAGCCUCGGAACACAGCUAGCCAGCGUCCCUGCUAGCUGCUGCCUAAAAGGCAAGAGAUCGUUUACUCUAUCAUGAUGGCCUGACUGGGCUUGACGUGAUCAUUUAAAAAAGGAUAAAGAGGGCGGGCCGAGGGCCAAGUGAUUAAGCUCACACACUCUGCUUCGGUGGUCCAGGGUUUCGCCAGUUCAGAUCCCAGGUGCAGACAUGGCACCACUCAUUGAGCCAUGCUGAGGUUGUGUCCCACAUGCCACAACUAGAAGGACUCACAACUAAAAAUGUACAACUAUGUACCGAUGGGCUUUGGGGGAGAAAAAGGAAAAGUAAAAUCUUUAAUAAAAUAAAAAGGAUAAGGAGAGAACAAUGGCUUCUAGACGUUGGACCAAUCCCAUCCCACAUCUUAGGUCAUCCUUCUCUGCCCUAAUAAUGCCUAUUACAAAACACAGUCAUAAUAGGAUCUCCUUGGCAAGCUACCUGCUCCUUCUGGUUAUCGGCUGGCCCAGAGGAGUGGAUAUCUCAUGCUGGUAAAAUUGGGCACUCUCACUCUUUAAACUAGUAUGUUUGUGCUUUGGUGCUACAGCACCCAAACACAUUUUACAGGCCAAACUGGCGUCCACCUACCUGCCAAUCAUACGACCUUGGGAGAAGCAUUGCUACGGUGUCCUACCUUAAAGAAGAUGGUGAAGAAGGUAAAAUGGGAACAGCAGAGAAGGGACAGAAAGUAUAGUUGUUAACAGCGUGGAUGUCGAUGGUACAGCAGCUAAGGUUGUGCCAGUCCCAGAACCCCAUGACCUCAGGUGAGUCACAAUCUCCCUAUGUCACAGUUCUCUCAUCUAUGAAAUGGAACUGUCAUGAGGAUUGCAUGAGUUAGUAUAUGUAAAGCGAACAGUCCCUCACAUGUGAAAAGUCUAAAUAAGCUUUUUGGGUUAUUUUGAAGGCUAUUGCCAUCCCAUUUCUCCAAGCAUUUGCUCCCAUAUGAAUAUAAAAUUGUCCAUGAAGAAAAGAGAAGUACUAACAUAGUACCUUUGAAAUAUAGAAGGAGGGAACUUCAGACCUUGCCACCAGCUGAGAAGCCAUGGCUUCUCAAAUUAUAUUUAUGCAGUCAUCAUUUUUACUUUCCACCAAAGACAAAUAAGUUGUUUUCCAUUUUGAUAUCUGUCUAUGUUUGAAAGAUGUUCCUUGUUGCUUGUUGAUAGGAGGGAACUUUUUACGACUGUUGAAGUUGAAGGGACCCCAAAUAGUAUCACCCUUCUGUCUCAUGCAAAGUGAGAAUCCACUGAGAAAGAGUCAGAGAAGAGUCAGGGGCUAUAUCCCCUGCUCACCUCUGCAUCUCCAAGUCCCAAGACAGGGCCUGACACACGGUAGACACUCAAGAAAGAAAGAAUGGAAGAAGGUCAUUGAGAGAAAGGACACAAGAAAGGUGAAAGGAAGGAAGAAUGCCGAGAGGGAAGAAGGAAUGAGAGACUGGAAGAGGAGCAAAGAAACUUGAAGAGCAUUGUCUUCACUGGUAAUAAAAAGCAGAAACCAUAUUUAUGAUAUUUAGACAUGGUUCUGUGGGGAACUGGUCUUGGCCACGCCAAGAUGUCUCUUUGGCAUGAGAAUUAUUGGGCUGGUUGCUUUUGAUAAACUGGGACAGGGAAGGAGGCUCUGAGGGGUGGAACUUGCUUGCCCUUUCUUAAGAGACAUUUACAAUGUAAAAGAAAUCUCUAUCUGUAAAGGUACCUCCAUCUCUGUACCAGGAAGAAGAAAGGGGAUGACCUUCUCUCUAGAAACUCUUAAUCAAUACCAAAGGCAAGGACUUAAAUCUGCAUAAUAAUCUUAUUCCUGUUUCUGGUAACCUCCUGUAACUGACUCCCCCCACCCGCAACAUCCUCCUUUGUCUUUAGCUGGAUAUGAUAUUUAAGUGGGGGCUUCAGCCAUUUUGGUGAGUUGCUCAGCUUGCCCAAGCCUCUCCCAUGUAUACAUGUUAUAAAGCUUUGUUUAAUUUUCUCCUGCUAUUCUGUCUCAUGUGAAUUUAAU
This is a long non-coding RNA of Equus caballus (horse), 3225 nucleotides long. NCBI's taxonomy places the organism in Eukaryota, Metazoa, Chordata, Mammalia, Perissodactyla, Equidae. The record is from Ensembl.